UACGUAGGGGGCCAGCGUUGUCCGGAAUCAUUGGGCGUAAAGCGCGCGUAGGCGGCCAGAUAAGUCCGGUGUGAAAGUCAAAGGCUCAACCUUUGAAUGCCGCUGGAAACUGCCUGGCUUGAGUCCGGAAGGGGCGAGUGGAAUUCCUGGUGUAGCGGUGAAAUGCGUAGAUAUCAAGAGGAACACCAGUGGCGAAGGCGAGUCCCUGGACAACACCUGACACUGAGGGACGAAAGCUAGGGGAGCGAAUGGG
Molecule: ribosomal RNA, 253 nt
Filed under: uncultured bacterium
Lineage: Bacteria
Description: partial 16S ribosomal RNA
Rfam family: Bacterial small subunit ribosomal RNA
Source: RNAcentral